CUCCCGCUUUCCCCUCGCCAUGUCCGGGGACGGCGGCGGCAGGCACACGGCGGAGCUGCGAGCGGAGCUCUACUUCCUCAUCGCCCGCUUUCUGGAGGACGGGCCCUGCCAGCAAGCGGCUCAGGUCCUGAUCCGAGAAGUGGCGGAGAAAGAG
Long non-coding RNA from Centrocercus urophasianus (Greater sage-grouse), 154 nucleotides. RefSeq lists it as uncharacterized. The transcript is spliced from 3 exons. The record is from RefSeq and is a predicted model, not a curated record. NCBI's taxonomy places the organism in Eukaryota, Metazoa, Chordata, Aves, Galliformes, Phasianidae.